RNAcentral lists this ribosomal RNA (497 nucleotides) under uncultured bacterium. RNAcentral describes it as "partial 16S ribosomal RNA". It matches the Rfam family "Bacterial small subunit ribosomal RNA", at positions 28 to 507 of the family's 1533-position model. The record is from RNAcentral.
GAUGAACGCUGGCGGCGUGCCUAAUACAUGCGAGUCGAGCGAACAGACGAGGAGCUUGCUCCUCUAACGUUAGCGGCGGACGGGUGAGUAACACGUGGAUAACCUACCUAUAAGACUGGGAUAACUUCGGGAAACCGGAGCUAAUACCGGAUAAUAUAUUGAACCGCAUGGUUCAAUAGUGAAAGACGGUUUUGCUGUCACUUAUAGAUGGAUCCGCGCCGCAUUAGCUAGUUGGUAAGGUAACGGCUUACCAAGGCAACGAUGCGUAGCCGACCUGAGAGAGUGAUCGGCCACACUGGAACUGAGACACGGUCCAGACUCCUACGGGAGGCAGCAGUAGGGAAUCUUCCGCAAUGGGCGAAAGCCUGACGGAGCAACGCCGCGUGAGUGAUGAAGGUCUUCGGAUCGUAAAACUCUGUUAUUAGGGAAGAACAAAUGUGUAAGUAACUAUGCACGUCUUGACGGUACCUAAUCAGAAAGCCACGGCUAACUACGUG